GCGAUUCGCCCUUCGGGGUGCCCAGGCGCGAAAACUUUGCAAUAAGCGAAAGCUUGACAGGGCUAUCCCGAGUGCCAUCCGCUGAGGAAGGCUUUUACCCAGUCUAGAACGCUGGGGGAAUAAGGAGAGGGCAAGUCUGGUGUCAGCCGCCGCGGUAAUACCAGCUCUCCGAGUGGUGUGGAUGUUUAUUGGGCCUAAAGCAUCCGUAGCUGGCUAAGUUAGUCCCUUGUUAAAUCCACCGAAUUAAUCGUUGGAUUGCGGGGGAUACUGCUUGGCUAGGGGACGAGAGAGGCAGACGGUAUUUUCGGGGUAGGGGUGAAAUCCUAUAAUCCCGGGAAGACCACCAGUGGCGAAGGCUGUCUGCUAGAACGCGCCCGACGGUGAGGGAUGAAAGCUGGGGGAGCGAACCGGAUUAGAUACCCGGGUAGUCCCAGCUGUAAACGAUGCAGGCUAGGUGUUUGGACGGCCACGUGCCGCUCUAGUGCCGCAGGGAAGCUGUUAAGCCUGCCGCCUGGGGAGUACGAUCGCAAGAUUGAAACUUAAAGGAAUUGGCGGGGGAGCAC
RNAcentral lists this ribosomal RNA (563 nucleotides) under uncultured archaeon. Its description in RNAcentral is "bacterial SSU rRNA". It matches the Rfam family "Archaeal small subunit ribosomal RNA", at positions 313 to 879 of the family's 1478-position model. The record is from RNAcentral.